UACGUAGGUGGCGAGCGUUGUCCGGAUUUACUGGGCGUAAAGCGCACGCAGGUGGCUUGCCAAGUCUGAGGUGAAAUCUCCCGGCUCAACCGGGAGAGGUCUUUGGAUACUGGCAGGCUUGAGGGCAGCAGAGGAGAGCAGAAUUCCCGGUGUAGCGGUGAUAUGCGUAGAUAUCGAGAGGAAUACCUGUGGCGAAGGCGGCCAACUGACGAGUACUGACGCUGAGACACGAAAGCGUGGGGAGCAAACA
Molecule: ribosomal RNA, 250 nt
Filed under: uncultured bacterium
Lineage: Bacteria
Description: partial 16S ribosomal RNA
Rfam family: Bacterial small subunit ribosomal RNA
Source: RNAcentral